AUUGAACGCUGGCGGCAGGCUUAACACAUGCAAGUCGAGCGGAGUGAUGGUGCUUGCACUAUCACUUAGCGGCGGACGGGUGAGUAAUGCUUAGGAAUCUGCCUAUUAGUGGGGGACAACAUCUCGAAAGGGAUGCUAAUACCGCAUACGUCCUACGGGAGAAAGCAGGGGAUCACUUGUGACCUUGCGCUAAUAGAUGAGCCCAAGUCGGAUUAGCUAGUUGGUGGGGUAAAGGCCUACCAAGGCGACGAUCUGUAGCGGGUCUGAGAGGAUGAUCCGCCACACUGGGACUGAGACACGGCCCAGACUCCUACGGGAGGCAGCAGUGGGGAAUAUUGGACAAUGGGGGGAACCCUGAUCCAGCCAUGCCGCGUGUGUGAAGAAGGCCUUAUGGUUGUAAAGCACUUUAAGCGAGGAGGAGGCUCUUUUGGUUAAUACCCAAGAUGAGUGGACGUUACUCGCAGAAUAAGCACCGGCUAACUCUGUGCCAGCCGCCGCGGUAA
Molecule: ribosomal RNA, 503 nt
Filed under: uncultured bacterium
Lineage: Bacteria
Description: partial 16S ribosomal RNA
Rfam family: Bacterial small subunit ribosomal RNA
Source: RNAcentral